This 673-nucleotide ribosomal RNA is filed under the name Mycena leptocephala. Its description in RNAcentral is "eukaryotic LSU rRNA". It matches the Rfam family "Eukaryotic large subunit ribosomal RNA", at positions 1 to 653 of the family's 3401-position model. The record is from RNAcentral. Lineage: Eukaryota; Fungi; Basidiomycota; Agaricomycetes; Agaricales; Mycenaceae.
UUGACCUCAAAUCAGGUAGGACUACCCGCUGAACUUAAGCAUAUCAAUAAGCGGAGGAAAAGAAACUAACAAGGAUUCCCCUAGUAACUGCGAGUGAAGCGGGAAAAGCUCAAAUUUAAAAUCUGGCGGUCCCUGUGGCCGUCCGAGUUGUAAUUUAGAGAAGUGYUAUCCGCGCUGGACCGUGUACAAGUCUCCUGGAAUGGAGCGUCAUAGAGGGUGAGAAUCCCGUCUUUGACACGGACUGCCAGGGCAUUGCGAUACGCUCUCAAAGAGUCGAGUUGUUUGGGAAUGCAGCUCAAAAUGGGUGGUAAAUUCCAUCUAAAGCUAAAUAUUGGGGAGAGACCGAUAGCGAACAAGUACCGUGAGGGAAAGAUGAAAAGAACUUUGGAAAGAGAGUUAAACAGUACGUGAAAUUGCUGAAAGGGAAACGCUUGAAGUCAGUCGCGUCGCUCAGGACUCAGCCUUGCUUUUGCUUGGUGUACUUCCUGUUCGAUGGGUCAGCAUCAAUUUUGGUCGGUGGAUAAAGGCUURGAGAAUGUGGCAUCUUCGGGUGUGUUAUAGCUCUGGGUUGUAUACAUCGGCUGGGAUUGAGGAACUCAGCACGCCGCAAGGCCGGGUACUUGUACCACGUACGUGCUUAGGAUGCUGGCAUAAUGGCUUUAAUCGACCCGUC